GUGCCAGCCGCCGCGGUAAUACGGAAGGUCCUGGCGUUAUCCGGAUUUAUUGGGUUUAAAGGGAGCGCAGGCCGGAGAUUAAGCGUGACGUGAAAUGCCGCGGCUCAACCGUGGAAGUGCGUCGCGAACUGGUUUCCUUGAGUGAGUUCGACGCCGGCGGAAUUCGUGGUGUAGCGGUGAAAUGCUUAGAUAUCACGAAGAACCCCGAUUGCGAAGGCAGCCGGCGAGGCCUUUACUGACGCUAAAGCUCGAAGGUGCGGGUAUCGAACAGGAUUAGAUACCCUGGUAGUCCGCACGGUAAACGAUGGAUGCCCGCUGUAUGCGAUACAAUGUAUGCGGCCAAGCGAAAGCGUUAAGCAUCCCACCUGGGGAGUACGCCGGCAACGGUGAAACUCAAAGGAAUUGACGGGGGCCCGCACAAGCGGAGGAACAUGUGGUUUAAUUCGAUGAUACGCGAGGAACCUUACCCGGGCUUGAACUGCAGCGGAAGGAUUGAGAGAUCAUGACGUCAGCAAUGACCGCUGUGGAGGUGCUGCAUGGUUGUCGUCAGCUCGUGCCGUGAGGUGUCGGCUUAAGUGCCAUAACGAGCGCAACCCCUGCUGUCAGUUGCCAUCAGGUUAUGCUGGGCACUCUGGCGGUACUGCCACCGUAAGGUGUGAGGAAGGUGGGGAUGACGUCAAAUCAGCACGGCCCUUACGUCCGGGGCUACACACGUGUUACAAUGGGGUGUACAGAGAGUCGUGUGCAUGCAAAUGCAUACCAAUCAUGAAAGCAUCCCUCAGUUCGGAUUGGGGUCUGCAACCCGACCCCAUGAAGCUGGAUUCGCUAGUAAUCGCGCAUCAGCCAUGGCGCGGUGAAUACGUUCCCGGGCCUUGUACACACCGCCCGU
This 889-nucleotide ribosomal RNA is filed under the name uncultured bacterium. RNAcentral's name for it is "bacterial SSU rRNA". It matches the Rfam family "Bacterial small subunit ribosomal RNA", at positions 505 to 1397 of the family's 1533-position model. The record is from RNAcentral.